This 257-nucleotide ribosomal RNA is filed under the name uncultured bacterium. RNAcentral describes it as "partial 16S ribosomal RNA". It matches the Rfam family "Bacterial small subunit ribosomal RNA", at positions 524 to 776 of the family's 1533-position model. The record is from RNAcentral.
UACGUAGGGUGCAAGCGUUAUCCGGAAUUAUUGGGCGUAAAGAGCUCGUAGGCGGUUUGUCGCGUCUGCUGUGAAAAACUGGGGGGCUCAACCCCCCAGCCUGCAGUGGGUACGGGCAGACUAGAGUGCGGUAGGGGGAGAUUGGAAUUCCUGGUGUAGCGGUGGAAUGCGCAGAUAUCGGGAGGAACACCGGUGGCGAAGGCGGUUCUCUGGGCCUUACCUGACGCUGAAACACGAAAGCGUGGGUCGCGAAUGGG